RNAcentral lists this ribosomal RNA (830 nucleotides) under uncultured Acidobacteriota bacterium. Its description in RNAcentral is "bacterial SSU rRNA". It matches the Rfam family "Bacterial small subunit ribosomal RNA", at positions 58 to 885 of the family's 1533-position model. Lineage: Bacteria; Pseudomonadati; Acidobacteriota. The record is from RNAcentral.
CAAGUCGAACGGGAAAGCGGGGGCAACUCCGCGAGUAUAGUGGCAGACGGGUGAGUAACACGUGAACAAUCUACCCUUGAGAGGGGAAUAACCCCGCGAAAGCGGGGCUAAUACCGCAUAACAUCCCUGAGUCGCAUGGCACAGGGAUCAAAGGCUUCGGUCGCUCAAGGAGGAGUUCGCGGCUGAUUAGCUAGUUGGUGGGGUAACGGCUCACCAAGGCGACGAUCAGUAGCCGGCCUGAGAGGGCGUACGGCCACACUGGAACUGAGACACGGUCCAGACUCCUACGGGAGGCAGCAGUGGGGAAUUUUGCGCAAUGGGCGAAAGCCUGACGCAGCAACGCCGCGUGGAGGAUGAAGGCCUUCGGGUCGUAAACUCCUGUCAGGGGGGACGAAACGCCCAGCAAUGGGCAUUGACUGUACCCUCUGAGGAAGCCACGGCUAACUCCGUGCCAGCAGCCGCGGUAAUACGGAGGUGGCAAGCGUUGUUCGGAAUUACUGGGCGUAAAGGGCGCGUAGGCGGCUAGGCAAGUCAGGUGUGAAAGCCCCGAGCUUAACUCGGGAACUGCAUCUGAAACUGCUGGGCUUGAGUUCUGGAGGGGGUAGUGGAAUUCCCAGUGUAGCGGUGAAAUGCGUAGAUAUUGGGAGGAACACCUGCGGCGAAGGCGGCUACCUGGACAGAAACUGACGCUGAGGCGCGAAAGCUAGGGGAGCGAACGGGAUUAGAUACCCCGGUAGUCCUAGCCGUAAACGAUGGGCACUUGGUGUUGGGGGUAUUGAGUCCCCCGGUGCCGGAGUUAACACGUUAAGUGCCCCGCCUGGGGAGUACGG